Molecule: transfer RNA, 53 nt
Filed under: Odorrana banaorum
Lineage: Eukaryota; Metazoa; Chordata; Amphibia; Anura; Ranidae
Description: tRNA-Val
Source: RNAcentral
UAAAGCCCCCCGCUUACACCGUGGAGUUAUCUGUUUAACCCAGAUCAUUUUGA